Long non-coding RNA from Oncorhynchus mykiss (rainbow trout), 3763 nucleotides. RefSeq lists it as uncharacterized. The record is from RefSeq and is a predicted model, not a curated record. NCBI's taxonomy places the organism in Eukaryota, Metazoa, Chordata, Actinopteri, Salmoniformes, Salmonidae.
CAAACCAGCUCUCUCAGAGUGUUUAUCUCAUGGCACAGAGCACUGUGUGCCCGCACAUCAAAGACUGUGGGAACAGACGACGCUCGGCGCAGCAGCUGCACUGGGAUCCUGUCCACACCCUUCCUGUUUGCCGCGGUCUACCUCGGGGCUAUUAUUUUCCCAACGGCCCUGCGACGAUAACCCCCCUACUGCCGUGGACACAGCUCCGCUGCCAGCACCACCUCCCCGCUCCAUGCCUUUGCUCCCGACCGCACCACGUCUCUCCGGGGCUCAACGGCCCACUGUGAUGUCUGAAGCUGGCUGGCAUUGUUCUCAGGGCGCUGGGGUCAUAAACAGAGGUACGCCACCUGCCGUCCUACCUGGGCGCAUACCUGGUUGAGCGGGGUGCCGGCGUUGGAACUGGGUCCCGAAUGUCCCAAAUGGAGACCCAGCACCUCACCUCUGGACCAUAACCCUCCCAGUCAACCAGGUACUGGAAUCCCCUGCCCCGAGAUCGAACCUUCAGGAGACGUCUCACACUGCUGGUUGGCCAUCGAAGAGAUGGGGGAGAGGGGUGGGCCUAGAAACAGGAAACAAAAGGCUGUGCGACAUGGUAUUAAUUCUAGACACAGGAAAGGUAGGAAGUGUACGGAGGGUACGGGGCAACAGAGCACAAACAGCAGAGGGGCUAAUGAUCUUGGAGCGGGGGGGAAGGUCUCCGCUUCCGGAUGGGUGUAGCUGCAGGCAUGUAGCCGUGGGGCUAUAGUGGCGUGCCAGCGCAUCGGGCUUGACCUUCUUGGAUACAUGUCGGUGCCAUACUGAACCCCACCCGGGGGUCCUGGUACUCUGCGAGUCUGGCGGAGAUGUCCGGGGCAAUUUCCAAGCCCCCAGGAAAACAUCCCGGGGCAGGCAGAGCUGACUUCAGGCAAUGAUUGUGGCAGCACGGACUCCAGACCAUGAUGGCACCAGUAGCCCAUGAUGGCAUCAGUAGCCCAGUCAAUAGAUGGAUUGUAUCGCUGGAGCCAAGAGAAUCCCAAUACCAAGGGGAACCUGCGAAGACUCAACUAACAGGAAUUGGAUCGUCUCACUGUGGUUCCCUGACACUCGUAGGUUGAUGAGCGUGGUAUGGUGGGUGACCCGGCCUAUAGGAGCGCCCAUCCAGCGCUCUAACGUUCAUGGUGAUGGAGAGGGGUUGAGUGGGGAUGCCCAGCUCGGACGCCAGGGUAACGUCCAUAAGACUCGGGCCCCCGAGUUGAUGAGUACCUGGAGAGACUUGGACUGGUCAACCCACAGCAGGACGGCAUGGAGAGGGGGGCAAGUAGGGGGAGAAUAAAAAUGAUUAAUUAAAGACCCACCAGAGUACUCACUCCAAUGAAUGAGCUAGGUCUCUUGAAGGGACAGGUAGACACAUAAUGGCCAGCAGUACCGCAAUACAGACAACUCUGGGUGUCAAGUCUGCAUAUACGUUUGGCUGGAGACAGCCAAGCCCUGCUGAGCUGCAUUAGCUCGUGAAGAGGUGAAUCGGCAGUCUUUGGAGACUCUUGAAGGAACUCUGGUAAGCUCGGAUCCUCUCGGGGACGUAGACACCAGGGACUUCAUCAGAUGCAAGGUGGGUUCCUUGAGUGAGCGAUUGGGACCGCAAUCAGACCUAUUCUCCCUCCUACAUUCCCGUAGCCUACCAUCGAUCCGGAUGGUUAAAGCGAUGAGUGAGUCGAGGUCCAUCGGUAGUUCCCGGGCUGCAAGUUCGUCCUUUACCUCCCGGACAUCAGCGUGAUGAGGUAUGCUAUCUUAGAGGGGUCCGAGGGAAGGAGAAAGGCUACAGCUCCAUGACAAGGGAACAACAGGUGACCGACUCUCCAUCGAAGCGCUCCAAGGGAGGUAAGCGGGGUUCCCGGGAAACCAGGGUGACGGCCCUGCUACAUGCCGGGUUACUGAGGGGCUGGGAGGUUACCGUCGUGGUAGGCUGCCUAGUAGACAACCCACUGAAUUGCUCCCGCAAUGUGUACAAUGCUCAGUCGUUCGGCCACAGCCUGGAACCCUGCCAUCAGACCGCGAAGCAACUUCUCGUGCCUACCAAUGGUGGCUCCUUGGGAGGAGAUGUCAUUGCGGAGUUGGUCCAAGUCUUCUAGGUCAGUCAUGAUCAGUUCGUACAUGUCAUGGUCAGUUUGUACAGGUAGGACGUACCUGGAGGGGGGGAGGGGGGUACUGUCACGCCCUGAUCUGUUUCACCUGUCUUUCUGCUUGUCUCCACCCCCUCCAGGUGUUGCCCAUCUUCCACGUUAACCCUUGUGUGUUUAUACCUGUGUUCUCCGUUUGUAUGUCAGUUCGUUUUGUUCGUUCAUACCUACCAGCUUAUUUCCCUUGCUCCUGUCUGUGCUUUAGUGCCUGUUUUCUAGUUUCCCGGUUUUGACCAUUCCUGCUUGCCUGCCGUCCUGUACCUUUGCCCCACUACUCUGGAUUACCGACCUCUGCCUGACCUGACCCUGAGUCCGCCUGCUGUUCCGGUGUCUUACACCCUCUCUGUAUUAUUGACCCCUGCAUGCCUUGACCUGUCGUUUGCCUGCCCCUGUUUAAAGAAUAAACUGUUGUUUCUUCAACACUGUCUGCAUCUGGGUCAUACCUUAAAAUGUGAUACCACAUAUUGGUCCCAUAAAAACAAUAACCAAACUUGAAUUUAUGUUCUCUUACUUAUUUCAUUUUUACCCAUCUCCAGUGUCUGACAUCAACUGCAGGCUCCGUGGUGUACCCUGAGUGCAAUUUGAAGAAUGAGUCAUAAAAAAAAGUUACAGAGCGCAUAAUAUCCAGUAACCCACAAGUAUUCCCAGUGACAUAAAAAUGUCACAGCUUAGAGGAUGUGUUUAUGUGUGUCCUGUGUUAGGUCUGUGUGACCCCUGCCCUGACCACCUCCUGGGGAGGCCAUGUUUCCUGUGGGUGGCGGUGCGUGGCAGGUUGUCCCCGGUUACAGGCAGGAGGAGAGGCGUCAGAGUGUGCGGCGCAGACCCAGGUACUUUUCUCAUACAGGGUGAUACAUCCUCCUAGUCCAGGCACGAGAUAUCUAUUUGCCAGCCCAUUGGGAAAGAGCAGUGGCUAUCUGGGAGACGUCAUGGACACCUCUUCCUCUCCCUGCGUCUCUCUGUGGUGGUCAGUGUGAACAGCCUUAGAUUCUUCUGGGUGAUUCACAGGCCCGUUGAUGACAGGUAUUUUCCAAGCCUGGACCUCUACAGCCACAGCUGCCCCUCCCAGUGUUUCCCGCGCUGAGUGUGUGAAGAACCGCUGGACGUGUGGGUGAUCGGGGCUUGCGAGCACCCGGCCACCCCCCAGCCGCCCCCACGUGCCCCGAUAAGGGAGCUGACCCCUCUGUUGUCACAUUCUCCCAGAGAUUAGCCACAGUGGUUGGGGUAGAUUGGACCGGACUGCCAGGGAACAGAGAACCAGAGAGGAGGGGCAGGGGUCAAGCAUGUAUGGUAGUAAUGUUUUUCAGCUCCUAUCUCUGAUAAUAAGGAUCCGCCCCUUUAAAAAAAAUGAUAUACCCAAAUCUAACUGCCUGUAGCUCAGGCAAGGAAGCAAGGAUAUGCAUAUUUUUGGUACCAUUUGAAAGGAAACACUUUGAGGUUUGUGGAAAUGUGAAAGGAAUGUAGGAGAAUAUAACACAAUAGAUCUGGUAGAAGACAAUACAAAGAGAAAACCAACCUUUCUUUUGUAUUUUUUUUGUACCAUCAUCUUUGAAAUGCAAGAGAAAGGCCAUAAUGUAUUAUUCCAGCCCAGGUGCAAUUUAGGUUUUGGC